ACUCAAAGGAAUAGACGGGGGCCCGCACAAGCGGAGGAACAUGUGGUUUAAUUCGAUGAUACGCGAGGAACCUUACCCGGGCUCGAACGGCGGAUGAAUGUAUAAGAGAUUAUACAGUCAGCAAUGACAUCUGUCGAGGUGCUGCAUGGUUGUCGUCAGCUCGUGCCGUGAGGUGUCGGCUUAAGUGCCAUAACGAGCGCAACCCUUGUCGUUAGUUGCCAGCAGGUAAAGCUGGGGACUCUAGCGAGACUGCCACCGUAAGGUGCGAGGAAGGGGGGGAUGACGUCAAAUCAGCACGGCCCUUACGUCCGGGGCGACACACGUGUUACAAUGGGUGGUACAGAGUGUAGCUACUAUGAGAAUAGAUGCCAAUCUUGAAAACCACUCUCAGUUCGGAUUGGAGUCUGCAACCCGACUCCAUGAAGUUGGAUUCGCUAGUAAUCGCGCAUCAGCCAUGGCGCGGUGAAUACGUUCCCGGGCCUUGUACACACCGCCCGU
Molecule: ribosomal RNA, 498 nt
Filed under: uncultured bacterium
Lineage: Bacteria
Description: bacterial SSU rRNA
Rfam family: Bacterial small subunit ribosomal RNA
Source: RNAcentral